UACGUAGGGUGCGAGCGUUGCCCGGAUUUAUUGGGCGUAAAGGGCGCGUAGGCGGCCACGCACGUCCGUUGUGAAAUCGCCCGGCUCAACUGGGCGGGGUCGGCGGAUACGGCGUGGCUGGAGCAAGCUAGGGGGCAAGUGGAAUUCCCGGAUCGUAGUGGUGGAAUGCGUAGAUAUCGGGAGGAACACCAGUGGCGAAGGCGGUUGCCUGGAGCUUUGCUGACGCUGAGGCGCGAAAGCGUGGGGAGCGAGUCCGG
This 257-nucleotide ribosomal RNA is filed under the name uncultured bacterium. RNAcentral describes it as "partial 16S ribosomal RNA". It matches the Rfam family "Bacterial small subunit ribosomal RNA", at positions 524 to 777 of the family's 1533-position model. The record is from RNAcentral.